Molecule: ribosomal RNA, 247 nt
Filed under: uncultured archaeon
Lineage: Archaea
Description: partial 16S ribosomal RNA
Rfam family: Archaeal small subunit ribosomal RNA
Source: RNAcentral
CCGACGGUGAGAGAUGAAAGCUGGGGGCACGAACCGGAUUGGAUACCCGGGUAGUCCCAGCCGUAAACGAUGCUCGCUAGGUGUCUGGGAUGGUGCGACCGUUUCAGGUGCCGCAGGGAAGCCGUGAAGCGAGCCACCUGGGAAGUACGGCCGCAAGGCUGAAACUUAAAGGAAUUGGCGGGGGAGCACUACAACGGGUGGAGCCUGCGGUUUAAUUGGACUCAACGCCGGAAAACUCACCUGGGGC